Molecule: ribosomal RNA, 66 nt
Filed under: Bacillus anthracis (anthrax bacterium)
Lineage: Bacteria; Bacillati; Bacillota; Bacilli; Caryophanales; Bacillaceae
Source: RNAcentral
UCUGGUAAUGAUGGCAGAGAGGCCACACCCGUUCCCAUACCGAACACGGAAGUUAAGCUCUCUAGC